RNAcentral lists this ribosomal RNA (523 nucleotides) under Teratosphaeria sp. CMW37253. Its description in RNAcentral is "eukaryotic LSU rRNA". The stretch from base 175 to 328 matches the Rfam family "5.8S ribosomal RNA". The record is from RNAcentral. Lineage: Eukaryota; Fungi; Ascomycota; Dothideomycetes; Mycosphaerellales; Teratosphaeriaceae.
UCCGUAGGUGAACCUGCGGAGGGAUCAUUACUGAGUGAGGGCGCAAGCCCGACCUCCAACCCCAUGUUUUCAACCAUGUUGCCUCGGGGGCGACCCGGCCAUCGCGCCGGGGCCCCCGGUGGACCCCUCCAACUCUGCAUCUUUGCGUCUGAGUCACAAAAUGAAAUCAAUCAAAACUUUCAACAACGGAUCUCUUGGUUCUGGCAUCGAUGAAGAACGCAGCGAAAUGCGAUAAGUAAUGUGAAUUGCAGAAUUCAGUGAAUCAUCGAAUCUUUGAACGCACAUUGCGCCCUCUGGUAUUCCGGAGGGCAUGCCUGUUCGAGCGUCAUUACACCACUCCAGCCUCGCUGGGUAUUGGGCGCCGCGGCCUCCGCGCGCCUUAAUGUCUCCGGCCGAGCCGACCGUCUCCAAGCGUUGUGGCACAACUGUUUCGCUUUCGGGACCGGUCCGGCGACGCGCCGUUAAACCCUUUCACCAAAGGUUGACCUCGGAUCAGGUAGGGAUACCCGCUGAACUUAAGCAU